GCCAGACUCCUACGGGAGGCAGCAGUGGGGAAUACUGCACAAUGGGGGAAACCCUGAUGCAGCGACGCCGCGUGAGCGAUGAAGUAUUUCGGUAUGUAAAGCUCUAUCAGCAGGGAAGAAAAUGACGGUACCUGACUAAGAAGCCCCGGCUAACUACGUGCCAGCAGCCGCGGUAAUACGUAGGGGGCAAGCGUUAUCCGGAUUUACUGGGUGUAAAGGGAGCGUAGACGGUGAAGCAAGUCUGAAGUGAAAGGCGGGGGCUCAACCCCCGGACUGCUUUGGAAACUGUUUGACUGGAGUGCAGGAGAGGUAAGUGGAAUUCCUAGUGUAGCGGUGAAAUGCGUAGAUAUCAGGAGGAACACCGGUGGCGAAGGCGGCCUGCUGGACUGCAACCGACGUUGAGGCCCGAAAGCGUGGGGAGCAAACAGGAUUAGAUACCCCGGUAC
This 446-nucleotide ribosomal RNA is filed under the name uncultured bacterium. RNAcentral describes it as "partial 16S ribosomal RNA". It matches the Rfam family "Bacterial small subunit ribosomal RNA", at positions 330 to 793 of the family's 1533-position model. The record is from RNAcentral.